This 107-nucleotide non-coding RNA is filed under the name Aquimarina spongiae. Its description in RNAcentral is "SAM-I sequence". It matches the Rfam family "SAM riboswitch aptamer (S box leader)". Rfam says of the family: The SAM riboswitch is found upstream of a number of genes which code for proteins involved in methionine or cysteine biosynthesis in Gram-positive bacteria. The SAM riboswitch acts at the level of transcription termination control. Lineage: Bacteria; Pseudomonadati; Bacteroidota; Flavobacteriia; Flavobacteriales; Flavobacteriaceae. The record is from Rfam by way of RNAcentral.
AAGUUAUUAAGAAAGGUGGAGGGAAUAGACCCUGUGAAACCUUAGCAACCCUUUAACUAUUAAAGAAGGUGCUAAAUUCUAUCCUGAGAUUCAGGAAAAGAUAACUC